AUCUAGCAGUAGAAUCCAGGACGGGAGUUUCGUCCUAUUUGGGAUUCAUUAGCUUGCUGCAACUUCACUCAAAUAGGACUAAACGCGCGUCCUGGAU
Molecule: non-coding RNA, 97 nt
Filed under: Schistosoma haematobium
Lineage: Eukaryota; Metazoa; Platyhelminthes; Trematoda; Strigeidida; Schistosomatidae
Source: RNAcentral